Non-coding RNA from Alligator mississippiensis (American alligator), 468 nucleotides. The record is from the annotation of a RefSeq genome assembly. Lineage: Eukaryota; Metazoa; Chordata; Crocodylia; Alligatoridae.
AUGGAUGGGACUUUCCGGUUUUCAGGUUCCCCCAUCAGUAGUUACGGUUGGAACUGGAUCCGGCAGCCUCCUGGAAAAGGGCUGGAGUGGAUGGCAAACAUAGAUGGAAACAGUGGUAGCACAUACUACAGCCCAUCCCUCAAGAGCCGCAUCACCAUUUCCAAGGACAACUCCAAGGCCCAGUUCUCCCUACAGCUGCGCUCUCUGACAGCCGCAGACACCGCCACAUGGGAACGCUGUGAGCUGAACCGGCAGCCCCCAGGGAAAGGUCUGCAAUGGCUGUGCCUCCUCUCCUGGGAUGAUGACAAGUCUUACCAGGACACUCUGAAGUCCCGCCUGACCAGCUCCAAGGACACAUCCAAGAAGGAGGUGUAUGUGGAGUUGAGAGGCCUGGAAGCCAGAGACAGCGACACCUACUACUGUGCCAGAGCACAGAGACACGGCCAUGGGCCCCCGUACAAAUACUAG